RNAcentral lists this unclassified non-coding RNA (2518 nucleotides) under Octopus sinensis (East Asian common octopus). RNAcentral's name for it is "uveal autoantigen with coiled-coil domains and ankyrin repeats-like, transcript variant X2". The record is from RNAcentral. Lineage: Eukaryota; Metazoa; Mollusca; Cephalopoda; Octopoda; Octopodidae.
UCAAGGGAAAUUAUUCGACUACUAAAUUUUCUCCCCUCUCUCAUAGCAACCUUAAUUAUUCGCCAUAGCAACGAACGCACCUAAGCACACUCACGCAAUCAAUUAAAGAGUAAGUUUUAUCAGUCUUUCACAAUGAUGGCUACGGCAAGUGAAGCUAUUUGUGAAAUAUCCGAUAUAAAUUCGGAAUUACCAAUUACAGAUGUUGUAGCUGUUAAAGAUACGGUCCAGAUACCAGUGAAAAAAGAGUACGUGAUAAAUACUCUAGACCACCUGAGAGCGAUCGACAAUGUUAUUAAAGAAGGCACAAAUGAUGAAAAUGCUGUCGAGAAAAUUCCCUUAAUUACAAACUGUAUUCAAACUUUGGACAACCAGCGGUUUCACUUUCAUGAAGAACUGGAAAAAGAAACAAUUAUUAGAUUUGCCCUUCAACAUUGUCUCAUGAAUUUACCUACAAAUAUCCAAAAUGAAAUUAACGCUGCAGUUGAAGCUGCUAAAAGACAGAAUGAUGCUAUUAGAAAAAGUAAAAUUGAAGGGCUCAAUGAUCUGGAAGAGAAAAUUAGCAAAGCACGAGAAGAGCAAGUACGGUUUGAAAAAGAGAACAAUAUUUUGCUGCCACAAAGAAAUGAGAUGAGAAAAAGUCAUGAUCGCUGUCUGCUGGAUUUGAACAAACUGCUCGCUCAUAAAUCCGAGUUACAGAUCUCAUUGAAUGAAACCAGAGAGAAAAUCAGUUUACAUAAUCAAGAGAUAGUGCAAACUGAAUAUGACAUUUUGGAACUUAGAAAUGCUGUGGCCAAAGAAUGGGAAGAUGCAAAUAAAAAAAUUGAGGAAUACAAAAUUGAUAUUGAAAAUACAGAAAAAUGCUUGAAAAUGGAGCUGUCAAGAAAUGAAGUAACGAAGAAGGAAGAAGUUAAAAUCAAGGAAGAAUUAUCAGCUAGCAACUUAUUAAACCAAGAUAUUCAAACUAAUGAGAGAUCUCUGAAUAAUGAAGUUGUUUCAAAGAAGAAAGAAUAUCAGAUGCUUCAACUUGAAUUGGAUGCUGAACUAAAACUAGAACAAAAUUUAUUAUCUGAGAAAAAGAAAUUAUCCCAACAGCAACUAAAACUAACAAAUAAAUCUGAUACUCUUACCAGUGAAAAGAAGAAGAUUUUGAAUGAAUUAAAUAUGAGAUAUCAAUAUGAGACAGACAACUCAGUUCAUCUUAAGCAACAACUAAAAGAUCAGCAAGAAGCACUUAGAGUCAAUAAAGAAGCUCUAAUAAAGUCUGAAGAAAAGCUGGAAAUUAUCAAAAAUGAACAUAAAAUUAAAGAAGCUGAAUAUAAAACACAAAAGGAAGCAUUACGUAAUCUUGAAAAAACAAACAGAGAAAUUUCAGAAACAAUUCAAAGAGCCAAAAUUAGCAACAGCUUAACUGUUGCUCAUCUCAACCAACAAAUUGAGAAGUAUGGCCAAAAAUAUGAGGAAGAAAAACAACUCCGAGAGGAUAUACAACAAGAGAAAAAAGACAUAUAUACUGAAAUUGAUAUUACUAAAGCCCAUCAAAGGGAAUAUGCAGGAGAAAUGAAAAAAAAAAUUGCUGAUAUGAAGGAACAAUGUACUGAAAAGGACGAACAGGCUGAGAGUCUCAAAAAUGUCAUCCAGGAACUUGACAAUAAAAUAUGUUCUUUGGAAAAGGAGAUAGAAUCUGACAAAACCAAAUUCGCUGCUUUAAUUGAUCAGAAAAAAGAAAAGAUUAAAGAAACACAACAAGCUAUCUCAAAGUUAGAAGAAACUGUUAAGGAAAAGAAUGCAGUUAUAGAAAAGAGGACUCCAGCAUUUGAAGAAAUGGAGAAGCAUUUUCAACAGCAGACUGACAUCUUUAAUGAGAGUAAAGAUACAUUUAUUGUCACCCGCCGUACGGACAUUGCCUUAACAAAUGAGAUAAAAGAAAUGGAAAACUCUGUAGCAGAAGCUGAGGCACCAUUGAAUGACCUUCGUAAUAAGAUCAAGGAGUCUCGUGAAGAGUAUCUAAGACUGCUAGACUCUCAUUCACAGGAAUCAAAAACAACAGAAGAAGAGAUCUAUGCUCAGAGUUGUAAACUGAAAAUAUUAAUUGAAGAAAACAACAGACUGAAACAAGAUACACUAGCCAAGGAAAGAGAGUCUGAAGAUGUUAUAAAGUCCACUGAGAAACUUGAAAAAAUACUACUGCAACUUAAAAGAGAGGUUUUGAAUGCAAAAGAGGAAUUCUCAAAAGAUCUCACAACUAUGUCGGACAUGCAAGAGAAAAUACAGAAAAGAGACCAACUGACUGUUGACCAGAUGGACGUUUCAAAAAACAUCAUUGAUACAAACAUCCAAAUUGUAAACAAUGUCAGUAAAAAAGUACACAAACAACUGGAAACAUUGGGAACAUAUUUGAAAGGCACUGAAAUAAGGCGCCCAGACUAAGAGAAUGGUUACACUUCAAACUGCACUGUGUAUAUGCAUGCAUGCAUGCAUACAUACAUACAUACAUACAUACAUACAUACAUACAUACAU